Molecule: ribosomal RNA, 462 nt
Filed under: uncultured bacterium
Lineage: Bacteria
Description: partial 16S ribosomal RNA
Rfam family: Bacterial small subunit ribosomal RNA
Source: RNAcentral
GAUGAACGCUGACAGAAUGCUUAACACAUGCAAGUCGAUGGGGAAGUGGUGCUUUCACCAUGGCAACCAUGGCGGACGGGUGAGUAACGCGUAAGGGACUUACCUGCAGGACUGGGAUAACAGCUGGAAACUCCUGACAUGACCGGAUAAUGUCAUUGUGCUGCUUGGCUUUAUGAUGAAAGGAGACGCCUGCUGAUAGCCUAGCGUCCUAUUAGCUCGUGGGUGAGGGAAUGGAGCACCAAGGCGAAAAGAGGUAGCCGGCCUGAGAGGGUGGACGGCCACAAGGGGAAGGAGAUACGGGCCUUACUCAUACGGGAGGCAGAAGAGGGGAAUAUUGGAGAAAGGGGGCAAACGUGUGACAGCAAAUCUGUGUGCACGAAGAAGGUGUACGGAGUGUAAAGUGCUUUCAGCAGGGAAGAAGUAAGUAACGGUACGUGCAGAAGAGGCGAGGGCUAAAUACGU